RNAcentral lists this ribosomal RNA (430 nucleotides) under Gammarus sp. 'Caroline Spring'. RNAcentral's name for it is "partial 16S ribosomal RNA". The stretch from base 135 to 430 matches the Rfam family "Bacterial large subunit ribosomal RNA", at positions 2073 to 2620 of the family's 2925-position model. The record is from RNAcentral. Lineage: Eukaryota; Metazoa; Arthropoda; Malacostraca; Amphipoda; Gammaridae.
GUGUAUUUUGACCGUGCUAAGGUAGCANAAUCAUUUGUUUUUNAAUUGAUAACUGGAAUGAAAGGUUACUCUUAUUUUAAUUUUUGUNAAACUNAAAUAAUAAAUNAAAGUNAGGGUAAGAAUUCUUUAAUUUUCNAGGGGACGAUAAGACCCNAGAAGCUUAAUAUAGAGUUAUACUUANAGAAAAAGUUGAUUAUUUAUUUUACUGGGGCGGUAGAAAUAAACUUACUAUUUAGAUGUAAAAGAUCUUUAAAAUUAAGANAAUUGGUAUUAGUUACUCUAGGGAUAACAGUGCAAUUUUUUNAGAAAGACCUUAUUGAUGAANAAGUUUGCAACCUCGAUGUUGAAUUAAGAUAUCUAAGUAAUGCAAAAGGUACUAAAGAAGGCUGUUCAACCUUUAAAGUCUUACAUGAUCUGAGUUCAAACCGGA